UGGGGAAUUUUGGACAAUGGGGGCAACCCUGAUCCAGCAACGCCGCGUGAAUGAAGAAGGCCUUAGGGUUGUAAAGUUCUUUUAUCCAAGAGCAAAAGAUAGAUGUUAACAGCAUGUGUUACUGAGAGUAUUGGAAGAAUAAGCACCGGCUAACUACGUGCCAGCAGCCGCGGUAAUACGUAGGGUGCGAGCGUUAAUCGGAAUUACUGGGCGUAAAGGGUGCGUAGGCGGAUAUAUAAGUUAGAUGUGAAAUACCCGAGCUUAACUUGGGGACUGCAUUUAAGACUGUAUGUCUAGAGUUUGUAAGAGGGGGGUAGAAUUCCAAGUGUAGCAGUGAAAUGCGUAGAGAUUUGGAGGAAUACCGAUGGCGUAGGCAGCCCCCUGGUAUAAAACUGACGCU
Molecule: ribosomal RNA, 400 nt
Filed under: uncultured bacterium
Lineage: Bacteria
Description: bacterial SSU rRNA
Rfam family: Bacterial small subunit ribosomal RNA
Source: RNAcentral